UUUCACACAAGCAACUCCAUUCUUUCACUUACAGAGUGGACCUCUUUCUGCUCUUCAGUGAGACUGUUCAUGUGAAUAAGGAGGAAAGGAAACUGCUGUUGAAUAGUAAGAUGCAUGGAACCUCUGCUUUUCUUUAUAGUCGUAUAUUUGCACUUUUCUCCAGGAAAGAAAAACAGCUUGUAACAGAGACUGCAAGUUCUUUGGGUGGAACAAGCCUACUAUCUUCCUGCUAUGAUCCCUUUCUUCCUGUGCAUCCAAACCUAUGGAAGCCACAAUGAGCUGGUGUCCCUGGACUCUUCCUAUUUCCAUAUUUCAGCUGAUAGUCCAUGUGGGAUCAUGAAAGAUGCCAUAGUGACAACCCUGCAGUCUGAAAUCCUGCAUCUAUCCACUGAAUUCAUGCAGCAGUAGCAGAGCAAGCAUUCCUGCACCAACCUGCUAAUGCCAAUUCACCACCACCCUGGCCAGAAAUGAACAUUUCUAAUCUGAAGAAGAUAAAUCCAUCUCCAUGGACCAUUCAGUCAGUGCUCAGGCAAAUGUAAUUCUUGCAUGCAAAAGAUAUCUUUGUUCUA
Molecule: long non-coding RNA, 569 nt
Organism: Malaclemys terrapin pileata
Lineage: Eukaryota; Metazoa; Chordata; Testudines; Emydidae
Exons: 4
Source: RefSeq, a predicted model, not a curated record